UAGCAGGAUAGUCAGUCCUACGUAUGGUGGCACGGUCUAUUUGGGGAUUGAACCCAUGACGGGCAUGUUGUUAAGUCGUACGAGUUGACGACUGUACUAUCUAGACCGGCUAAACUAAGGCAACUAUAGGCAACUAUAGAAGGCACAACUAUACCAACAUAUUGUAGUUAGACUUAACAUUAUAAGCAAAGUUUUUGCUGUUGACCUACUAUCAGUAAUAAUACGGAAUGGAGAGGGAGGGGGGGGGGUCUGAGUGGGUCAAGCUGAUUAGGAAGUUACACGUGGCAAGAUUAAAUUUUUAUUAAUUGGUUUAAAACCAAACGAUUCGAAGUAACCCUCUUGUCAUCUGAUUUGUUAUAAAGUUGCAUUAAAGCAACGUAUUUUCUUUCCUUGAAAUGCUUGAAUGCCAUCGUUUCAGAGUUUUUUUUUUAAAUUUUGUUGCUCAAGAUUUCAGUACAUUGCUAUUUACAGAUAGAUAAUUCAAUAAAUCAGAUUUAACGCAAUACAUUAUUUAAACAGAAAAAAAGACAUAUGAUGAAUUUUCAAUAAAGAAGUACAAAUACAGCCCAUUGUUGCUGCAAAGCAAAAUUCCAAAAUGAUGCUUUACUUUUAUUUAAUGCUCAAUGCUGAUCAAAGAGUAGAAACAUAGCGAAAAUCAUUAGCAGCUAUUUAUUUACUCAUCGCUGUUGUGAACAGGCGUGCCGAGCCCUGAACUCCUCGUAGCAGUUGCGCUCGAUCGCUGGACGUUGCGCGCACGCACACUACGACGCACACACUAGCGAUACGCGCUUUGUGUUGUGAGUUUGUGCAGAGCGCACAAAAGGAAGUGAAUUAGGCUGUGUAGGGCUGAUGGCAGUGGCGUAUUUAACGAUCGACAGAUUCGACGAUUCCCGUCAUUCACAGUCCCGUCAUUGCUCGACGACAGCAAUUUGCUUACCUGUGCUGACUAAAUAAAUAGUACCGUGCCAAUGUGUACGAUUGAACCAUCCCGGACGUGUCUUACCCUACUGAAAGUUCUCUGUGGGAAGGAAUUUACAAAUCGCUACACCUCACUGUGGUUGUGUUUCCUCCCAAAGUAGUGACAGGCCUUUGUUUCGCCCCGAACGAAAGUAAAUUGUGUGUAAAUUGUUUAAAAUUGUAGAUUACACCAUCACCCAAUUACGUGCGGAUGCAUGAAGCCUUUCGUACAUGAAGAUGUUUCCGUGCCUCUUCGGAUGAUGAGCAGCUGCCUCCCACAGAGCAAGAGGAAUCACCGCACGGGGUGACAUUUGAAUAUUCAAUGUAAUCACAACCGACCCCAUCCGACCAACAACGAUCUGAAAGGCGUUCAAAAACAAUUCACUGCACUUGAAAAGAUUGCCCAAAGUUGCCUUCACCAGGAGCUUUGCGGCUAGGGAAAGAAAGAGCACCAUUACUCCAGCACACUGGGCACAGUAUAAUGUAUUUUGAGAAUUUUCAAAACCUUAUCCAGGAUCCAGACAUCGGGAAGAGUGUGAGGACGGUCUUCAUUAGAGCUAAAUCGAUAACAAGGCUCAUCACGCUGCUGGCCUUCCGUCCGUUGCUUCUCUACAAGUGGAUUUGAUGAUCCCUGAAAUCGGCAUAACGAUGAAACGUGUCCCGGUUCUCCCCCUCCACCCCCCAGGAUAAAGGGGACUUUUGACAUCAAGCGGAAGUAGUAGGUCACGGGAAACUCGUCGAGAAUGUACCAAGUAGUGGGAUGGAAUUGCGCAAAAUAAAAAAAAAAAAACAAAAAUAACGAAA
Molecule: long non-coding RNA, 1761 nt
Organism: Anopheles arabiensis
Lineage: Eukaryota; Metazoa; Arthropoda; Insecta; Diptera; Culicidae
Exons: 2
Source: RefSeq, a predicted model, not a curated record